AUUGAACGCUGGCGGCAUGCCUUACACAUGCAAGUCGAACGGCAGCACGGGUGCUUGCACCUGGUGGCGCGUGGCGAACGGGUGAGUAAUACAUCGGAACAUGUCCUGUAGUGGGGGAUAGCCCGGCGAAAGCCGGAUUAAUACCGCAUACGAUCUACGGAUGACAGCGGGGGACCUUCGGGCCUCGCGCUCUGAGGUUGGCCGAUGGCUGAUUAGCUAGUUGGUGGGGUAAAGGCCUACCAAGGCGACGAUCAGUAGCUGGUCUGAGAGGACGACCAGCCACACUGGGACUGAGACACGGCCCAGACUCCUACGGGAGGCAGCAGUGGGGAAUUUUGGACAAUGGGCGAAAGCCUGAUCCAGCAAUGCCGCGUGUGUGAAGAAGGCCUUCGGGUUGUAAAGCACUUUUGUCCGGAAAGAAAUCCUGGGCCCUAAUACGGUCGGGGGAUGACGGUACCGGAAGAAUAAGCACCGGCUAACUACGUG
RNAcentral lists this ribosomal RNA (486 nucleotides) under uncultured bacterium. RNAcentral's name for it is "partial 16S ribosomal RNA". It matches the Rfam family "Bacterial small subunit ribosomal RNA", at positions 30 to 507 of the family's 1533-position model. The record is from RNAcentral.